AACGAACGCUGGCGGCAUGCCUAACACAUGCAAGUCGAACGAGACCUUCGGGUCUAGUGGCGCACGGGUGCGUAACGCGUGGGAAUCUGCCCUUGGGUUCGGAAUAACAGUUGGAAACGACUGCUAAUACCGGAUGAUGACGUAAGUCCAAAGAUUUAUCGCCCAGGGAUGAGCCCGCGUAGGAUUAGCUAGUUGGUGGGGUAAAGGCCUACCAAGGCGACGAUCCUUAGCUGGUCUGAGAGGAUGAUCAGCCACACUGGGACUGAGACACGGCCCAGACUCCUACGGGAGGCAGCAGUGGGGAAUAUUGGACAAUGGGCGAAAGCCUGAUCCAGCAAUGCCGCGUGAGUGAUGAAGGCCUUAGGGUUGUAAAGCUCUUUUACCCGGGAUGAUAAUGACAGUACAGGGAGAAUAAGCCCCGGCUAACUCCGUG
RNAcentral lists this ribosomal RNA (433 nucleotides) under uncultured bacterium. Its description in RNAcentral is "partial 16S ribosomal RNA". It matches the Rfam family "Bacterial small subunit ribosomal RNA", at positions 29 to 507 of the family's 1533-position model. The record is from RNAcentral.